UCAGAACGAACGCUGGCGGCGUGGAUUAGGCAUGCAAGUCGAACGAGAAAGCUUCCUUCGGGGAGCGAGUAAAGUGGCGAAAGGGUGAGUAACGUAUGGAUGACUUACCCUCGAGACGGGGACAACAGCUCGAAAGGGCUGCUAAUACCCGAUAGUUCCUGUAGCUUGCGGGCUACAGGAUAAAUGGUGCUUCCGCUCGAGGAGAGGUCCAUAUCCUAUCAGCUUGUUGGCGGGGUAAUGGCCCACCAAGGCUUUGACGGGUAGCCGGACUGAGAGGUCGGCCGGCCACACUGGGACUGAGACACUGCCCAGACUCCUACGGGAGGCUGCAGUCGAGAAUCUUCCGCAAUGGGCGAAAGCCUGACGGAGCGACGCCGCGUGCAGGAGGACGGCCCUCGGGUUGUAAACUGCUGUCACACGUUAAGAAAUGUUGCGUUCAAGCGCAGCUUGACAAAGGCGUGAGAGGAAGUCACGGCUAACUUCGUGCCAGCAGCCGCGGUAAGACGAAGGUGGCGAGCGUUGUUCGGAAUUACUGGGCAUAAAGCGCGCGUAGGUGGCUUGGUAUGUCAAUGGUGAAAUCCCAUGGCUCAACCAUGGAACUGCCGUUGAAACUGCCUUGCUUGAGUUCAGGAGGGGAGAGUGGAAUUCCUAGUGUAGCGGUGAAAUGCGUAGAUAUUAGGAGGAACGCCGGAGGCGAAAGCGACUCUCUGGACUGACACUGACACUGAGGCGCGAAAGCUAGGGGAGCAAACAGGAUUAGAUACCCUGGUAGUCCUAGCUGUAAACGAUGGGCACUAGAUGGAGGGGGUUCCGAUGCUUUCUCUGUCAAAGCAAAUGCGUUAAGUGCCCCGCCUGGGGAGUAUGGUCGCAAGGCUAAAACUCAAAGGAAUUGACGGGGACUCACACAAGCGGUGGAGCAUGUGGUUUAAUUCGAAGCAACGCGAAGAACCUUACCCGGGUUUGAAAUGCAGGGAUUAACCUU
RNAcentral lists this ribosomal RNA (982 nucleotides) under uncultured Planctomycetota bacterium. RNAcentral describes it as "bacterial SSU rRNA". It matches the Rfam family "Bacterial small subunit ribosomal RNA", at positions 24 to 1002 of the family's 1533-position model. Lineage: Bacteria; Pseudomonadati; Planctomycetota. The record is from RNAcentral.